UGCAAGUCGAACGAUGAACCUCCUUCGGGAGGGGAUUAGUGGCGAACGGGUGAGUAACACGUGGGCAAUCUGCCCUGCACUCUGGGACAAGCCCUGGAAACGGGGUCUAAUACCGGAUACUGACCCGCUUGGGCAUCCAAGCGGUUCGAAAGCUCCGGCGGUGCAGGAUGAGCCCGCGGCCUAUCAGCUUGUUGGUGAGGUAAUGGCUCACCAAGGCGACGACGGGUAGCCGGCCUGAGAGGGCGACCGGCCACACUGGGACUGA
This 265-nucleotide ribosomal RNA is filed under the name Streptomyces variabilis. RNAcentral's name for it is "partial 16S ribosomal RNA". It matches the Rfam family "Bacterial small subunit ribosomal RNA", at positions 56 to 322 of the family's 1533-position model. Lineage: Bacteria; Bacillati; Actinomycetota; Actinomycetes; Kitasatosporales; Streptomycetaceae. The record is from RNAcentral.